AACGAACGCUGGCGGCGCGCUUUACACAUGCAAGUCGAACGGCAGGAAGGGGCUUGCCCCUUCUGCGCGUGGCGGACUGGUGAGUAACACGUGGGUGACAUACCUCUUAGUUGGGGAUAGCUCUUCGGAAUAGUAGGUCAUACAGAGUGUGACCGUACCUGUUAGAGGGGUACGAGGAGAGGAGCUAAGGCUUUGCUAAAAGACUGGCUCGCGGCCCAUUUUGUUCGUUGGUGGGGUCAUGGCCUACCAAGGCGAGGAUGGGUAUCCGGCCUGGGGGGGGGAACGGCCACAUUGGAACGUAGAUACGGCCCAGACGUCUACGAUAGGCAGCAGUCAAGAAUAUGCCGCAAUGGACGAAAGUCUGGCGGAGCGACGCCGCGUGUAUGAAGAAAGCCGAAAGUGUGGAAAAUCCUUUUAAGCCUGAUGAAUAAGCACAGUAUGUAAUGAUGGGUCGGUGACCGUAGUGGGUGAAGAAGCACCGGCUAAUUACGUG
This 493-nucleotide ribosomal RNA is filed under the name uncultured bacterium. Its description in RNAcentral is "partial 16S ribosomal RNA". It matches the Rfam family "Bacterial small subunit ribosomal RNA", at positions 29 to 507 of the family's 1533-position model. The record is from RNAcentral.